RNAcentral lists this long non-coding RNA (5002 nucleotides) under Sus scrofa (pig). Its description in RNAcentral is "lncRNA (ENSSSCG00050000359.1)". Lineage: Eukaryota; Metazoa; Chordata; Mammalia; Artiodactyla; Suidae. The record is from RNAcentral.
CCUUGGCAACCACAAGUCUAUUCUCUGUGUCUGUGAGUCUGUUUCUGUUUCAUAGAUAGGUUUGUUUGUGCCAUAUUCCAGAUUUCAUAUAUAAGUGAUAUCAUAUAGUAUUUGUCCUUCUCUUUCUUUCUUNCUUCUCGUUCUUUCUUUCUUUUUUAUUUUUUUCUUUGUCUUUUCUAAGGCCAUAUCCGCGGCACAUGGAGGUUCCCAGGCUAGGGGUCCAAUCGGAGCUGUAGCCGCUGGCCAACACCACAGCCACAGCAACGCAGAAUGCGAGCUGCAUCUGCAACCUACACCAUAGCUCAUGGCAGUGCCGGAUCCUUAACCCACUGAGCAAGACCAGGGAUUGAACCAAGAACCUCAAGGUUCCUAGUCGGAUUCAUUAACCACUGAGCCACGAUGGGAAAUCCUGUCUUUCUCUUUCUGACUUACUUCACUUAGUAUGAGAAUCUCUAGUUGCAUCCAUGUUGCUACAAAUGGCAUUAUUUUGUUCUUUUUAUGGCUGAAUAGUACUCCAUUGUGUAUAUGUACCACAUCUUCUUAAUUCAUUCAUCUGUCAAUGGACAUUUAGGUUGUUUCCAUGUCUUGGCUCUUAUGAAUAGUAACAGCUAGUCAAUUCUCCCUCUUGCUCAUUCAUUCAUUCACUCAUCUAGAAACAAAGGAUCUGAACUAUGGGAAGACAAAGACAGCCAUUAGGGGCCUUAUUUUAUCAGUGCCUCAAAAGAGAAAAGAGGAGGGCUUACAGAUUGCUAGCAGAGCUCCGAAGUUUCCGGACCUGGUACCUUGGAUCUGCUGGUAAGAGGCUUGAUCCUAAAUGGUGCCCUCCUACCUUGCCCAAGGGGAAUUUGGUCUGAGCAGCUCAAAGGUUUAACUGAAUUAAACUGAGAUAGCAGCUCCAUUCUCCAGAGAACCUAACAUGAUAGCUGCCAGGCAUGGCUGGGGAGAGAGUCUGUUUUAACCAUCUCUUAUUCACCUUGUUGGUAUGGGUGAGAUUCCUGCUCUAGGGUGUCAGGGAUGGCCAAAUAACCACCCGGCACUGAAUAUUUAUGGUUGACAGAUUGAUGGUGUAUACUCAGAGCCUGGGCGAAGAGAACACUGUGUGUCACCCAAGGCCAGGCAUUGCGCUCCAAAACACAGAGGAAAACCAGGGUCUGUGGGAGGCAGGCUUUGUAGUAUCACAUGGGUGGGAUGACCAUGUGAUUGGCUUGUUUGAAUAAUUCCAUGACCUGGCAGGAAACCGAAACCUACUACCUGAGGGGUAGGCACCUGGUCCCCUUGAUAAAGGAGGGUUGUUUGAUAAGAAGACUUUAACUUCAGAAGCAGAGGGGGUAAAGAAACUUGCAGUUGGGUCAUCCAAGGCCCCUCAGUUUCAUCAAUCAAGGCAGCCCAUCAAACCAUGCCUUAAUUCUGGGCUUUACCCCACAGAAGACUCCCCAUAGGUCACAACCUCAGCAGCCACAAAACCUACCUAGUCGGCAACCUCAGCUCAGGAUCUCAACCCAGAGAUUCCAGAAUCUCAGAACCCAACUCAUUAGUGCUCAGUGGUGCUCAAAGUGGGCUCAGAGCUGAGCAUCAGCCAGAGGGGGGCAUCAGCCAGAGGGGGGCAAGUGAUGGAGACACCCCGUUACUUGCACCUUCCUGACUGCCUCUCUCCUCCCUGUAAAUCACCCUGCCUCAGCGAGGUCAAAAAUCCCCACCCCUGGCUAUUUAAAUCCCUCACUUUCCUUCAUAUCGCCUACAUUUGACACAAACAGACAUUAAUACAUCUGCCCUUUGCUCUUGUAAGAAAACAGGCUCUGUAACCAAGACAACUAGUUAUGGCCUAUAGCACUGAACACAGAAGGCAGCAGCCUGUCAGUGAUAAGGGUCCAUCCUGGGACCCUCACUUCUAGACCCCUACCUCCUGUCCUUCUGUCUUGUUUGCACCCGGUGACCUAGCUCAGCCAAUCGAGGGCUGUGCUUGCUUUUUGCUCUGGCCUUUCUCAACUUCUACAAUCAAUUCCUGUCUUGAGACACCAUCCUGCUGAAUUCACAGGAAGAGGUGAACUUUGUUCUGCUCUGAAUAUGGUUCAGGCAUUCAGCUAAUAAUGAGUUUCAGGAUCCUGUACCCUGCAGAAAGGACCCCCAUGAAGGCACAUAAGACCCUGUGUGGCUACGCUGCUGGGGUGGGGACUUCCAGCCACCAGUGCUUGAAACCCACCUCAGCUACCCACUUCUACCUUCAUUCGGGAGAUCAGGCCCCACCCAGACCCUCAGGCCACUGUCCAGUGUGAUGAGGAGUGAGGUCUGGGCACUAUCACCUCACCCCUAGGACCCCAAGCACCUAGAAGUAUUCCUAGAGUAUGACCAGAUCCGUGCUGUUUACCAGAACAUCCCUGCCAGUAGCCUUAUUAAAUCCAUUUUCCCUCCAUUAGAAACUAGAAAGUGAGUCACAGCUGCCACUUUGGGAACCAGGGACAAUAAGCCCACAGUCCAGAUAGGGGAUGAGAGAAUCCACGAGCAAGACAGACACUAAAAUUAGGAUUCUGCUUCCUGGAGAAGCACAGAAUGCUAUCAGAUCUUUGCCCUGAUUUAUCCAGUGGGAGCCCUGCUGGGAAAUUUGAGCAUGCUUUUGGUUUGGGAUUUUUUUUUUUUUUUUUUUUUUUCCUCCUUUAGCCAGAAGUCACUUUAUCCUUGGCUUGGGGGAAAUGGAGGUUGUGUAGGGAGCAAAGGAGGAGAGGCCUGGGAGGUUCUCAUGGCCAGGGCUGCCACGGUCUGGGUAGCUGAAACAACAGAAAUGUAUUUUCUCCUUUCUGGAGACUAGAAGUCUGAGGUUGAGUCUCAGCAGCCGUGAUUUCUCCUGAGGCCUCUGUCUUGCUUGUAGGCGGUCGUCCUCUCCCUAUAUCCUCGCAUCGUCUUCCCUCUGUGCUCGUGCGUAUCUGUGUCCUGAUUUCUUUUUUUUUCCUUUUCUUUCAUUUUCUUCCUUUUUUUAGGGCUGCAUUCGCGGCAUAUGGAAGUUCCCAGGCUAGGGGUUGAAUCAAAGCAGCUGCUGAAGCCUACACCACACCCACAGCAACACCAGAUCCAAGCGACCUACAACACAACUUACGGCAACUCCAGAUCCUUAACCCACUGAGCAAGGCCAGGGGUCGAACCUGCGUCCUCACAGACGCUAAGUCAUGUUCUUAACCUGCUGAGCCACAACAGGAACUCCCUGAUCUCUUCUUACGACACAGUCCUACUGAAUUAGGGUGCACCCAUAUGACCUCACUUUACCUUAAUCACCUCUUUGAAGAUGCCAUCUCCAAACCCAGUCACACUCUGAGGUCCUGGGGUCUAGGACUUCAACAUAUAAACUUUGGGUGGGAGAAAUCCAAUUCAGCCCAUACCAGACCCACUGCCUUGCAGUGAGGGAGGGUCUUGAGGGUUGGCAAGCUCAGUGUGCCUCUAGGGCGAGGCUUUAUUUCAUAGGCGAUCAAUUAGCCCUACUUUAGGAGGAGAGAGUCAGAAGAGGGCUUCUAUGUGAGAUAGCCUCAGGAAGGCAGGGGAAUAUCCUAUGAUAAAUCAGAAUGGAAAAGGAUGUUUUAAAAAAGAAGGUAAAAAAGAAGGUAUGUCUAUGUAUAACUGAAUCAAUUCCUGUGCAGCAGAAAUGAACACAACACUGUAAGUCAAUUAUACUUCAAUUAAUUUUUUUAAGAUUUUUUUAAAGAAAGAGGGAGCAGCACUCCUGAGAAGGAAUCCAGGGAGAGGGGAAGAGAAGGGGACACUGGAUGGAGGAGGGAGGAGAUCCGGCCACCAGGUUUGAACAUGGAUGUGAAUAAUUUCCUCGUGCCUAGGGAGGAUGGGUGGACUGUGAAGGCACUUACAAGAUAAUAGGGGACAUUCAGCUUUAAGAAGGGACUGGAUCUUUGCCUGCAGACGGGUAGCCAGUGUGCCCCAGAGGCUAGAACCAGGACCUGUGGGUAUAAACCAAAGAGGGGCACGUUUCAACUGCAGGAAAAUCAGAACAUUCUAGGCAUUGAAAUAUUCAACCUUGGGGUAAUCUGCUAUGACAGGUAGUGAGCACCCUUCACUCAGAACAUUUCAUUCAAGCUGGGAGAUGAUCAUGGUGCUUGGAGAAUAGUUCCUGCAAUUCUUAAAUUUUGUGAUGGAUCAAAUAAGAGGGUUGGACUAAAUAAUUUAACUCAAAGCCUCCCCUUGUGGUCCUGUAGCCUUCCCUAACUCUUACCAGCCUCUGUCUUUCAGACUAGAUGAAUUGUAAGGAGAGCAGCUAAUGACACAUAAUUCUGGCGUGGAAUUCAUAAUGUCCACCCCAAAUGUCCGAGCUGCCAUAUAUUUAUAGUAGCUACCACUAUACACGAAUGGAUCUUCAUAAGCACGCACGCACACACACACACACACACACACACACAUCAGAGCAAAAGGAUAGUUUAUCUAAAAAUUGUUAAAGAACCUCUGAACUCUGUCAAGAAACUAAGCUUUUAGUUUAGAAAAUUUAGCUCUGCAUCUCUUGGGUCAAGAAUUCGACAUUGUUCCAGAAAGAUGUGGUAGGAAGAAUAAUGAUUCCUGCCACCUCCACGACCCCAAAUGAAUUCCAAAUCCCAAUCCCUAGCACUCAAGAACGUGGUUUUGUUCUAUUUCGGUGAAAUUCACAUAACAUAAAAUUAAUUGUUUAAGGAGUUCUCCUGGGGCACAGUGGGUUAAGGAUCCCGUGUAGUCUCUGCUAUGGCUCAGGUUGCUGCUAUGGCAUGUGUUCGAUCCUGUGAAGGUUCCUGGCCUGGGAAACUUCACAUGCCACAGGCUUGGCCAAAAAAAAAAAAAAAAAGAAAGAAAGAAAGAAAAAAGAAAAACUUGGAGUUCCCAUUGUGGUUCAGUGGUAAUGAACAACUAGUAUCCAUGAGGAUGUGGGUUCAAUGCCUGACCUCACUCAGUGGGUUAAGGAGCCAGUGUUGCUGUGAGCUGUGGUGCAGGCCAGCAGCUGCAGCUCCAAUUUGACCCCUAGCCUGGGAACUUCUAUAUGCCA